GACGAACGCUGGCGGCGUGCUUAACACAUGCAAGUCGAACGGAAAGGCCUGCUUUCCCUUGUGGCUUGCGGGUACUCGAGUGGCGAACGGGUGAGUAACACGUGAGUGAUCUGCCCCCAACUUGGGUAUAAGCCUGGGAAACUGGGUCUAAUUCCCGAUAGGACUGCAGGGUGGUGCCUGUGGUGGAAAACGAUUUUCUAGUGGUUGGGGAUGAGCUCGCGGCCUAUCAGCUUGUUGGUGGGGUAAUGGCCUACCAAGGCGGCGACGGGUAGCCGGCCUGAAGGGUUGGCCGGCACAUUGGGACUUGGGUACCGGCCCAGAUCCUUACGGAAGCAGGCGGUGGGGAAAAUGGCCAAUUGGGCGGAGGCCGAUUGCGGGGCCCCGGCGUGGGGAUGACGGCCUUCGGGUUGUAAACUCCUUUCGACCGCGAGGAAGCCACCUGGUUGGAAGGGUGGUGACGGUAGUGGUAGAAGAAGCACCGGCUAACUACGUG
This 493-nucleotide ribosomal RNA is filed under the name uncultured bacterium. RNAcentral's name for it is "partial 16S ribosomal RNA". It matches the Rfam family "Bacterial small subunit ribosomal RNA", at positions 28 to 507 of the family's 1533-position model. The record is from RNAcentral.